GACGAACGUUUGCGGCGCGCUUAACACAUGCAAGUCGAACGGAAAGGCCCUGCUUUUGUGGGGUGCUCGAGUGGCGAACGGGUGAGUAACACGUGAGUAACCUGCCCUUGACUUUGGGAUAACUUCAGGAAACUGGGGCUAAUACCGGAUAGGAGCUCCUGCUGCAUGGUGGGGGUUGGAAAGUUUCGGCGGUUGGGGAUGGACUCGCGGCUUAUCAGCUUGUUGGUGGGGUAGUGGCUUACCAAGGCUUUGACGGGUAGCCGGCCUGAGAGGGUGACCGGCCACAUUGGGACUGAGAUACGGCCCAGACUCCUACGGGAGGCAGCAGUGGGGAAUAUUGCACAAUGGGCGGAAGCCUGAUGCAGCAACGCCGCGUGCGGGAUGACGGCCUUCGGGUUGUAAACCGCUUUCGCCUGUGACGAAGCGUGAGUGACGGUAAUGGGUAAAGAAGCACCGGCUAACUACGUGCCAGCAGCCGCGGUGAUACGUAGGGUGCGAGCGUUGUCCGGAUUUAUUGGGCGUAAAGGGCUCGUAGGUGGUUGAUCGCGUCGGAAGUGUAAUCUUGGGGCUUAACCCUGAGCGUGCUUUCGAUACGGGUUGACUUGAGGAAGGUAGGGGAGAAUGGAAUUCCUGGUGGAGCGGUGGAAUGCGCAGAUAUCAGGAGGAACACCAGUGGCGAAGGCGGUUCUCUGGGCCUUUCCUGACGCUGAGGAGCGAAAGCGUGGGGAGCGAACAGGCUUAGAUACCCUGGUAGUCCACGCUGUAAACGGUGGGUACUAGGUGUGGGGUCCAUUCCACGGGUUCCGUGCCGUAGCUAACGCUUUAAGUACCCCGCCUGGGGAGUACGGCCGCAAGGCUAAAACUCAAAGGAAUUGACGGGGCCCCGCACAAGCGGCGGAGCAUGCGGAUUAAUUCGAUGCAACGCGUAGAACCUUACCUGGGUUUGACAUGGAUCGGGAGUGCUCAGAGAUGGGUGUGCCUCUUUUGGGGUCGGUUCACAGGUGGUGCAUGCCUGUCGUCAGCUCGUGUCGUGAGAUGUUGGGUUAAGUCCCGCAACGAGCGCAACCCUUGUUCACUGUUGCCAGCACGUUAUGGUGGGGACUCAGUGGAGACCGCCGGGGUCAACUCGGAGGAAGGUGGGGAUGACGUCAAGUCCUCAUGCCCCUUAUGUCCAGGGCUUCACGCAUGCUACAAUGGCUGGUACAGAGAGUGGCGAGCCUGUGAGGGUGAGCGAAUCUCGGAAAGCCGGUCUCAGUUCGGAUUGGGGUCUGCAACUCGACCUCAUGAAGUCGGAGUCGCUAGUAAUCGCAAAUCAGUUCCGCUGCGGUGGAUCCGUUCCCCGGG
Molecule: ribosomal RNA, 1344 nt
Filed under: uncultured bacterium
Lineage: Bacteria
Description: bacterial SSU rRNA
Rfam family: Bacterial small subunit ribosomal RNA
Source: RNAcentral